This 422-nucleotide ribosomal RNA is filed under the name Verrucomicrobiota bacterium. Its description in RNAcentral is "Verrucomicrobia bacterium partial 16S ribosomal RNA". It matches the Rfam family "Bacterial small subunit ribosomal RNA", at positions 355 to 776 of the family's 1533-position model. The record is from RNAcentral. Lineage: Bacteria; Pseudomonadati; Verrucomicrobiota.
UGGGGAAUCUUGCACAAUGGGCGAAAGCCUGAUGCAGCGACGCCGCGUGAGGGAUGGAGGCCUUCGGGUUGUAAACCUCUUUCAGUAAGGGUGAAGGCUCUCUUUUGUGGAGGGUUGACAGUACUUGCAGAAGAAGCGCCGGCUAACUACGUGCCAGCAGCCGCGGUAAUACGUAGGGCGCGAGCGUUGUCCGGAAUUAUUGGGCGUAAAGGGCUUGUAGGUGGCGUGUCGCGUCUGCUGUGAAAUUCCAGGGCUUAACUUUGGGAUUGCAGUGGGUACGGGCAUGCUAGAGUGCAGUAGGGGAGAUUGGAAUUCCUGGUGUAGCGGUGAAAUGCGCAGAUAUCAGGAGGAACACCGGUGGCGAAGGCGGGUCUCUGGGCUGUUACUGACGCUGAGGAGCGAAAGCGUGGGGAGCGAACAGG